RNAcentral lists this RNase P RNA (388 nucleotides) under Aeromicrobium sp. PE09-221. RNAcentral's name for it is "Bacterial RNase P class A". It matches the Rfam family "Bacterial RNase P class A". Rfam says of the family: Ribonuclease P (RNase P) is a ubiquitous endoribonuclease, found in archaea, bacteria and eukarya as well as chloroplasts and mitochondria. Its best characterised activity is the generation of mature 5'-ends of tRNAs by cleaving the 5'-leader elements of precursor-tRNAs. Cellular RNase Ps are ribonucleoproteins. Lineage: Bacteria; Bacillati; Actinomycetota; Actinomycetes; Propionibacteriales; Nocardioidaceae. The record is from Rfam by way of RNAcentral.
UGAGCCGGCCGGGCGGCCGCGGCAUCGGCGACGAUGUCGAGGAAAGUCCGGACUCCACAGGGCACGGUGGUGGCUAACGGCCACCCACGGCGACGUGCGGGACAGUGCCACAGAAAGCAGACCGCCAGCGGCCCUCGUCGAUGACGAGGGUGCGGGUAAGGGUGAAACGGUGAGGUAAGAGCUCACCAGCGCGGCGGGUGACCGUCGUGGCUCGGUAAACCCCACCGGGAGCAAGACCAAGAGGGCCUUCGGGCCUGCGCUGAUGGGCGGCCCGUCCGAUGUCAGCGGGUAGGUCGCACCGAGGUGCGCAGCGAUGCGCAUCCCAGAUGGAUGGUCGCCCCUCGCCUCCGGGUGAGGACAGAAUCCGGCUUAUAGGCCGGCUCAUUCG